CAACUGGCGGGCGCUUUCCCGACCCCCCGCGGGUUCGCCCCGCGGCCGACGGAGGGCAGGCCGGCGUGUUUACUGUGAACAAAUCAGAGUGCUCAGAGCAGGCCUCGCGGGGCUCGCCCCCGCGACUCGGCCUGAAUGCCCGCUCAUGGAAUGAUGGAAGAGGACCUCGGUCCAGUCUUUUGUGUCGGUUUUUGUGGCACCGAGGUAAUGAUUAAUAGGGACCGACGGGGGCAKU
RNAcentral lists this ribosomal RNA (235 nucleotides) under Parapenaeopsis stylifera. RNAcentral's name for it is "partial 18S ribosomal RNA". The stretch from base 67 to 235 matches the Rfam family "Eukaryotic small subunit ribosomal RNA", at positions 760 to 903 of the family's 1831-position model. Lineage: Eukaryota; Metazoa; Arthropoda; Malacostraca; Decapoda; Penaeidae. The record is from RNAcentral.